AUAAACGAAUGUGUGCGCGCGCGUGCAUCACGUACACAUUGCUUGUAGAGUGAGGGUGGGAGAUGACAGGAAGGGGAGGGACACGAAGGUUCUAACCUCGCGGUGGGUGGUAAACGAUAGAUAAGAUGCGCUUCCAUUUUGUCUUUUGAGCACUGCACCACAGGGAAGAACAAGUUUUCUGAAUGUUCAAAAAUCCAUAUUUUAAAUCGAUUUAUGAUGGAGAUGAGGAAGGAAGAGAAAAUGAUAGGAAGAAGAUGGUAGAAUAUCGAUAUAUACUUAAAAAAAUAUUACCACGGUAAUCGAGGUGACACAAAAACAUCGUAAAUAUGUACACGACAAAACAGGGAAUAAGAAAUGUGGUAAUCGUUUCACUUUUGAAACUUUAUCGAGUUUGUUGCAAGAAAUGGUAAGCGAUCUCACAUUUCGUAAUCAGCCGAUCUGAUUUGCCUCAUUACGCGUAAGC
Molecule: long non-coding RNA, 463 nt
Filed under: Apis dorsata (giant honeybee)
Lineage: Eukaryota; Metazoa; Arthropoda; Insecta; Hymenoptera; Apidae
Description: uncharacterized LOC102678441, transcript variant X1
Source: RNAcentral